UCCGGCCUGAGAGGGGCGCACGGACACACUGGAACUGAAACACGGUCCAGACUCCUACGGGAGGCAGCAGUGGGGAAUUUUGCGCAAUGGGGGAAACCCUGACCGCAGCAACGCCGCGUGGAGGAUGAAGUCCCUUGGGACGUAAACUCCUUUCGAUCGGGACGAUUAUGACGGUACCGGAAGAAGAAGCCCCGGCUAACUUCGUGCCAGCAGCCGCGGUAAUACGAGGGGGGCGAGCGUUGUUCGGAAUUAUUGGGCGUAAAGGGCGCGUAGGCGGUUGGAUAAGUCUCGUGUGAAAUCUUCGGGCUCAACUCGAAGUCUGCACGAGAAACUAUCCGGCUAGAGUGUGGGAGAGGUGAGUGGAAUUCCUGGUGUAGCGGUGAAAUGCGUAGAUAUCAGGAGGAACACCUGUGGCGAAAGCGGCUCACUGGACCACAACUGACGCUGAGGCGCGAAAGCUAGGGGAGCAAACAGGAUUAGAUACCCUGGUAGUCCUAGCCCUAAACGAUGAUCGCUUGGUGUGACGGGUACCCAAUCCCGCCGUGCCGAAGCUAACGCGUUAAGCGAUCCGCCUGGGGAGUAUGGUCGCAAGGCUGAAACUCAAAGGAAUUGACGGGGGCCCGCACAAGCGGUGGUAGCAUGUGGUUUAAUUCGACGCAACGCGAAGAACCUUACCUGGGCUCGAAAUGUAGUGGAAUCCGGUGGAAACAUCGGCGCCCAGCAAUGGGCCGCUAUAUAGGUGCUGCAUGGCUGUC
This 755-nucleotide ribosomal RNA is filed under the name uncultured Acidobacteriaceae bacterium. RNAcentral's name for it is "bacterial SSU rRNA". It matches the Rfam family "Bacterial small subunit ribosomal RNA", at positions 284 to 1053 of the family's 1533-position model. The record is from RNAcentral. Lineage: Bacteria; Pseudomonadati; Acidobacteriota; Terriglobia; Terriglobales; Acidobacteriaceae.